Molecule: ribosomal RNA, 228 nt
Filed under: uncultured bacterium
Lineage: Bacteria
Description: partial 16S ribosomal RNA
Rfam family: Bacterial small subunit ribosomal RNA
Source: RNAcentral
UAACGCGUAUGCAACCUACCUUUAACAGAGAGAUAGCCCUGAGAAAUUGGGAUUAAUAUCACAUAAUAUCAUAAUGCAGCAUUGUAUAAUGAUUAAAGCUCCGGCGGUUAAAGAUGGGCAUGCGUGACAUUAGUUAGUUGGUGAGGUAACGGCUCACCAAGGGUACGAUGGGUAGCUGAUCUGAGAGGAUGAUCAGCCACACUGGGACUGAGACACGGCCCAGACUCC